GACAGAGGGGGCAAGCGUUGCUCGGAAUCACUGGGCGUAAAGGGCGCGUAGGCGGGAUGGCAAGUCGGUCGUGAAAUCCCUCGGCUCAACCGAGGAGCGUCGGCCGAUACUGCCGUUCUUGAGGGAUGCAGAGGAGACUGGAAUUCCCGGUGUAGCGGUGAAAUGUGUAGAGAUCGGGAGGAACAUCGGUGGCGAAGGCGGGUCUCUGGUCCACAACUGACGCUGAGGUGCGAAAGCUAGGGGAGCAAACGGG
RNAcentral lists this ribosomal RNA (253 nucleotides) under uncultured bacterium. RNAcentral's name for it is "partial 16S ribosomal RNA". It matches the Rfam family "Bacterial small subunit ribosomal RNA", at positions 524 to 776 of the family's 1533-position model. The record is from RNAcentral.